CCCCUCCUCUCUCACACACACACUCACAGCUGUUUAUACUCCUCUCUCCGAUGAGCAGCGGAGCCAUCAGAGAGCAGAGGCUGCAGGAGUCCGGAGGAAUCGGAAUCGUACGGGAAAAAUCUGGACGACUAGUGUUGAUUUUUUUUUUUUCUUUCUUUCUUUUUUCUCAUCAACUACACGGCUUUCACUCUCUGUCAUCCCGCUCUUCCUUCUUUUUGCGUAUGUCCGUCCCGGCUGCUCCGUUGGAAUCUGGAGUACAGACACGGAUCAGCAGCAGAGUGAAAACAGAGACAUGAGUUUCAGCCUCUGCUGCCCGCUUUCUCCCAUUCACUGACAGAAGAGGGGAACACAAGGUAAAGGGGUCGAAGCGGCAGCCAUAGGCAAAGCGGCGAAGGUGAAGCAGACAUGAGUGCGGACGGCCAUCAGGCGGUGGUGACCACUCCGCCGCCGCCCAGCGGGGGCACCAAGGAGCGCUAUUUUGACCGGGUCAACGUCAACGAUCCAGAGUACAUCAGAGCCAGGAACAUGUCGCCUGACCUCCGGCAGGAUUUUAAUGUUCUGGAGCAGAAGAAACGCGUCACACAGAUUCUACAAAGCCCAGCCUUCAAAGAGGAGCUGGAGUGUCUGAUCCAGGAGCAGCAGCGGAAAGGCAACAACCCGACCGGACUGCUGGCCCUCCGGCAGAUCGCCGACUUCAUCAUGGCCAGCUCGGUGGCCGGCUUCAACACUUCCCCUCUCAGUCUGGGCAUGGUGACUCCCAUCAAUGACUUGUUCGGGGUGGAGUUCGCCUCCAUGGUGAAAGGCGAGAAGCAGACGCGCUGUAAACUGGCCAGCCUCUACAGACUGGUGGACCUGUUCAGCUGGGCCCACUUCGCCAACUCCUACAUCACAGGCCGAGUGAGUAAAGAACAGGACCACAUACUCAUCAUCCCCAGAGGUCUGUCAUUCGCUGAAGCGUCUGCAUCAAACCUGGUGAAGGUGAACAUCAUCGGGGACGUGAUCGAGCAGGGCUCCACCACCCUGAGGAUCGACUCGGCUGGGUUCAGCCCGCACGCCGCCAUCUACUCCAUGCGUCCGGACAUCCGCUGCAUCAUACACGUUCACACUCCCGCCACUGCGGCUGUGUCAUCGAUGAAGUGCGGCCUCCUGCCAAUCUCCCAGGAAGCGUUGAUCUUGGGAGAUGUCGCCUACUAUAACUAUCAGGGCAGCCUGGACGACCAGGAGGAGCGCAGGGAGCUGCAGAAAGCCCUGGGCCCGACAGCGAAGGUUUUGGUGUUGAGAAAUCACGGCGUGGUCGCUCUCGGGGAAACCGUCGAAGAGGCUUUUCACUACAUCUACAACGCCCAGUACGCCUGCGAAAUCCAGGUGAAUGCUAUCUCGUGUGCUGGAGGAGUGGACAACCUCAUAGUGCUGGACCCAGAGAAGUACAGAUCCCGCGUGUUCGCCGUGGCGGCGGCGGCGGAUGUCAACAUGGCCGGCCAGUACAAGUGGAAGAUCGGAGAGCUGGAGUUUGAGUCUCUGAUGAGGAUGCUGGAUAAUCUGGGCUACAGAACGGGCUAUGCCUACCGACACCCCAUCGUUCGGGAGAAGCCGAGGCACAAGAGCGAAGUGGAGAUCCCCGCCACCGUCACGGCCUUCACGUUCGAGGAGGACGGCGAGGCCAUGCGCCUGCCCUUCAAGUUCCUCCAGCAGCGGCAGCAGAGGGAGAAGACGCGCUGGCUCAACUCCCCCAACAGCUACACCAAGGUCAGCGUGGAGGCCGGAGAGGAGCGCUGCAACAGCCGGACGACCACGUGGAUGAGGGCGGAUGAAACAGGAACUCCGAUCCGGAUUGAAGACCCAAAUCAGUUUGUCCCUCUAAACACAGAUCCCAGUGAGGUGCAGCAGAAGAGGAACAAAAUCAGAGAGCAGAACCGGUUAGACGUGAUGACGUCAGGUCCGCGCUCUCAGCACCUCGCCGGCAUUCCUGUCGAUCAGCCACGACAGGAUCCGGGGCAGAUAAACGUGCCGCCAUACAUGCCCACAGAGGAGGAGCAGAUGGCUCCUCUUCCUCCCAACCCGUUCAGCGAGCUGUUGGAAAAGGAGCAGCACCACAAAAACGUGGAGAGAAGGCAAUUUGGCCUCAGCGAUGGCGAGCACGAGCUAACCUCCGACGACGGCUCCACGCUCUCUCAGUCUUUGUCUGUCGCCCAGUCGCCGCAAAGCACUCCGGCUAAAGAAGAGAACCACACAGGCCUGAUGAACGGCAAGGACAACCACGACGACGAGCUCUCCAAGCGCGUCAGUCAGCUGACCACCAGCGUGGAGAGCGUGGAGAUCACCGUGCGACCCGGCGAGAAGAUCGAGGAGCCGCUGUCCCCCGAGAGCUCCCCCUCCAAGUCGCCCAACACCAAGAAGAAGAAGAAGUUCCGCACGCCGUCGUUCCUGAAGAAAAGCAAAAAGAAAGAGAAGACUGAGGCCUGAGAGAAGCGAGCGGGCGAAGUCGGGAAGAACGCGCCUGCGGAAAGAGGGUGUCGAAUUCCCCUUUUUUUUUUAUAUUUGAUUUUUUUUAACCAGAGGUUUUAUGUACAAAAGGCAGAGGAAAGAUUUAACAAGAAAAAAAAAAACAGCAGUUUGGGAUUUUUAUGAAAAAGUCAUUUUGCAAAGAAAGAAUGUUUGUGAGAUUUUGGGAUAGCCGGGUGUGUAGGCCCACCGAUUAAAGCUGCAGCAGAUGGGAGCGAUAUAUAUAUA
RNA transcript from Xiphophorus hellerii (green swordtail), 2730 nucleotides. It is a transcript of the gene named adducin 3 (gamma) a, with no coding region annotated. NCBI's taxonomy places the organism in Eukaryota, Metazoa, Chordata, Actinopteri, Cyprinodontiformes, Poeciliidae. The transcript has 17 exons. The record is from RefSeq and is a predicted model, not a curated record.